AUUGAACGCUGGCGGCAUGCCUUACACAUGCAAGUCGAACGGUAACAGGUCUUCGGAUGCUGACGAGUGGCGAACGGGUGAGUAAUACAUCGGAACGUGCCUAGUAGUGGGGGAUAACUACUCGAAAGAGUGGCUAAUACCGCAUGAGAUCUACGGAUGAAAGCAGGGGAUCGCAAGACCUUGUGCUACUAGAGCGGCCGAUGGCAGAUUAGGUAGUUGGUGGGAUAAAAGCUUACCAAGCCGACGAUCUGUAGCUGGUCUGAGGGGACGAUCAGCCACACUGGGACUGAGAAACGGCCCAGACGCCUACGGGAGGCAGCAGUGGGGAAUUUUGGACAAUGGGCGCAAGCCUGAUCCAGCAAUGCCGCGUGCAGGAUGAAGGCCUUCGGGUUGUAAACUGCUUUUGUACGGAACGAAAAGCCCCGGGUUAAUACCCUGGGGUCAUGACGGUACCGUAAGAAUAAGCACCGGCUAACUACGUGCCAGCAGCCGCCGUAA
This 498-nucleotide ribosomal RNA is filed under the name uncultured bacterium. RNAcentral's name for it is "partial 16S ribosomal RNA". It matches the Rfam family "Bacterial small subunit ribosomal RNA", at positions 30 to 523 of the family's 1533-position model. The record is from RNAcentral.